Molecule: ribosomal RNA, 304 nt
Filed under: uncultured bacterium
Lineage: Bacteria
Description: partial 16S ribosomal RNA
Rfam family: Bacterial small subunit ribosomal RNA
Source: RNAcentral
CAGCAGUCGCCGCGGUAAUACGAAGGGUGCAAGCGUUAAUCGGAAUUACUGGGCGUAAAGCGUGCGUAGGCGGUUUGUUAAGUCUGCUGUGAAAUCCCCGGGCUCAACCUGGGAAUGGCAGUGGAUACUGGCAAGCUAGAGUGUGUCAGAGGAUGGUGGAAUUCCCGGUGUAGCGGUGAAAUGCGUAGAGAUCGGGAGGAACAUCAGUGGCGAAGGCGGCCAUCUGGGACAACACUGACGCUGAGGCACGAAAGCGUGGGGAGCAAACAGGAUUAGAUACCCCUGUAGUCCCUGUCUCUUAUAC